This 1974-nucleotide long non-coding RNA is filed under the name Homo sapiens (human). RNAcentral's name for it is "HSALNT0198779". The record is from RNAcentral. Lineage: Eukaryota; Metazoa; Chordata; Mammalia; Primates; Hominidae.
CCCUCAUCGAGCCUCAUUCUCAGCCACAUCGUAAGGAUUUAGAGGCCCUAAGCACUGACGACGCUGUGGUGCCACAAAAAUAGACAAGCAGGGCAUGUGCGCUGAAGCUGGAAGAGGCUUCUUCCAUAUUUUCAUUGCAAAAUCAGAACUUUGGUGAGUUUUUUAAAAAUGUUUUAAAAUGUUUGCGCCCCUGUUUUGCUGAUGCCCCUGGGAAUCCCAGCACGGCCUUUUCACCGACUGCUGCUUCUCAGUCUUCAUGAGAGCCCAGAGCUCUGUGCUCGGCUCUUUCCUGUCCUCCCGGGCUGGCCUUGUGCUUUCGUGACUGGGUCAGGCUCCUGGGCUCUGUGUCUGAUGCAAUCAGUGCCACCUGAAUGCCUGGGCGGCCUCAGCAUACGGGAGUAGACCGGGCGGGGCCCUCGCGUGUGACACCAUGGCUGUUUCAGAUCCACCGCAAACCCCCCGCCCCAGUGCUGCCCCCGGUCCCCUCACACUCUGGAAAGAUUUGCCGGAGCCACUCUGUCCUUUUCUUUAGUGCAGCUGCUGGCUGAUAAACCUGCUCCUGCUCUCUCUAAGGCAAGGCCAAGCACAGCUCCUUUCCCCUAGGGCAUGUGCCUUUGCACUGCCCGAGGCUGCUCCUUGGUCCCAAGUCCACAGUACUUUGCUUCUCAGGACAGUUUUCCAUUCUCAGGUAAGCACUCAGGGGAGCUCUCCCAGUGGCACAGUUCCAGGUCCACCUGAAUCCUUUCAGGAAGGACCUCGUCCCUCUGAAUGCUGGUGAUCACAUUUCAACACAAUUUAUGAAGUGCACCUCGUAGGAAAAACUUAGAAAGCCUUUCCAGAUCCACCAGGCAUAGGCACCCUUCUUUCUUUGCUUCAAAGAAACAAAGAUGGCAUUUAAGCAUGACAUUUAAACUCUUUGGGGUCUACUCUAGAGAAUUCCUCAUUGUUCUGGGUCAUCACCCAGGUAUCCAGGAGAUACACAUAUUGUUAAACUUCCGUUUGUUUUUCUCUUGUUAGUUUGCCUUUUGUUACAGAGAGACUCCCAGCUAGGAACCCAUGAAGUUGGAGGUUUAUGGGAAUGUCUAGAUAUAUUUAUAAAUCAUAAAAUUGUUAUUUUGCUACUCAACUUGUUCAGGAGAAGCAACAGUGUUGCAGAAAGAGGCCCAGAGUGGGGACAGCAAUCCCAAUUCUGCAACCAAUGGGCUCUGUCACUGUGGGGCCUUUCCAUGCCUCUGCCUCCUCAUCUGAAAAUGAGCGGGUUGGAUAGAUUUUUCACUACUGUUCCUUUAAGUUCUACCAUGCGGAGGUUUUUUACAUUGCUACCUUCUUAUGUGACAUAGUUUUGCAAUUAAGAACUCUCAAGUUCCUCUUUGCAGUUGGUAUUUGAGAUGUUAAGAAUGGAAACGCUGAUUCCCCUCAGACCCGCUUUGCAGAUAACCCUGCAUUUUACCGAGAUGUCAAAGCAGGAAGUGCUUGGCUGGAACAUCUGCCGACAGCCUCAUCUCUUUCUGCAAGAUCAUGAUGUUCUGCAUGCUCCUGUGGCCUCUUAUUUCACGUUGCUCUCCCUGCAAAUUUUGAAACAACUUUAAAGAUGAAUAAAAAGCAGCUCAGCAAGUGAAUCCCAGAUCCCGGGCCAAACUCCGACGCCCACGAGCUCGCUCAGAAUUGGCUCAGGCUGCAAUCACUUCUCUUCUCCUACCUCCACACCAUUCCCUGAUGGUGGACAGCUUCUCCUUUGAGAACCACACCUGCCUUUUCAGACAAAAGGAGACACCACCCACCCUCCUGCUGAGGGCUGCUCCCCUGGGGCCUUCUCAGCACACCUCUCUCUCUCUAGGUCAAAAAACAAAUUUCACAUGCUGAAUUUUUACCUUUUUUAAAGUGACUCCGAAUUUUGGCACCAGCAAUUAAUUCAACACUUGAAUAAGAUUUGAAAACCUCACAACAAAUCACAAAUAUAUUAUGGGUCCUGUU